This 392-nucleotide RNase P RNA is filed under the name Candidatus Magasanikbacteria bacterium RIFCSPHIGHO2_01_FULL_33_34. Its description in RNAcentral is "RNase P RNA component class A". It matches the Rfam family "Bacterial RNase P class A". Rfam says of the family: Ribonuclease P (RNase P) is a ubiquitous endoribonuclease, found in archaea, bacteria and eukarya as well as chloroplasts and mitochondria. Its best characterised activity is the generation of mature 5'-ends of tRNAs by cleaving the 5'-leader elements of precursor-tRNAs. Lineage: Bacteria; Candidatus Magasanikiibacteriota. RNAcentral also lists the same sequence under 3 other names. The record is from RNAcentral.
UGUUCAUUAUAAAUGAUCGCGUCACACUACUUGUGUGAUGAGGAAAGUCCGAACUUCCUCUAUUAAACCAGAAAAAAUGUAGCGGGUAAUACCCGUCGGUGUACUGGUGACAGUACAUUAGGGACAGUGCCACAGAGACUAUACUAGUCCUAAUUUAUUAGGAUAAAACGUGAAAAGAGUAUGGAAGUUUUUAUUCUUAAGACAAAAGCUACUAUACUUCCUCCGCUAUCCAGCGGGGGACGGUAAACCCUACAUGGGAGAAAGAGCAGCGUUCUAAUUUAUUAGUUCGAAAAGUUAGCUCGUUUGAACUAAAUAGCAAUAUUUAGUCUAGAGAAAUGAUCAUUGCUUGAUUUAUCAAGUUACAAAAUUCGGCUUACUGUAAUGAACAAGAU